RNAcentral lists this unclassified non-coding RNA (382 nucleotides) under Hevea brasiliensis (rubber tree). The record is from RNAcentral. Lineage: Eukaryota; Viridiplantae; Streptophyta; Magnoliopsida; Malpighiales; Euphorbiaceae.
AAUGAUGAAAUAAAUAAAAAUAAAAUACAAAAAAAAUUAAGGAAAAAUAAAAGAGAUGAAAUGUAACUAGGUUAAAUGAGCUGCGGUUCUAGCGAUGGGUGACCGUAUCAGAAAGUCACUGCGUAGAUAGUUGACGACCCCAGACCUGCGAGGAACCUUAGGAAAUAAUUUUCAGGACUUAAUUAAAGAUUUAAUAAGGUACAAAUAAUAUUAAAAAUGUCAAAGAAAAUGUAGUUAAUCGGUACAAAUGAAAAUGAAAUUAAAGGAACCGUCGGAUCAGAGAUUUAAUAGGUAUUACUGAAAAAGUAUGAUUAUAAACCGAAGAAGGGCAUUUUGGUCAUUUGACACUUAGAGUUGAAUUUUGACCUAAAUUUCCAUUAAA